AUGCCCAGGUUACAAAUAUUGAGUUUGAUUUUUAAGAAGAGCAAAUCUCCAAGUAUACUCCAAGCUACUGAGCCAACCAGAGCAGAUCAAUCUACAAGCAAUCUUAGCUACCGACCCAACCGGAGCCCAGGUGUCAUAAGUAUAUUCCUUGUCCCCUUAUCAUCAUUAAUAUACACCAACUCUAUAAUCCAACUCUCCAUACAACAUCCUUCAAUAUCCUUACGAACAAUGUGGUACUUGCCAUGCAUAUACAUAAAAUCGUCAGCAAUUUUGAACUUCUGGACAAGUAAAAUCAGUUAA
This 300-nucleotide ribosomal RNA is filed under the name Triticum aestivum (bread wheat). Its description in RNAcentral is "partial small subunit ribosomal RNA". Lineage: Eukaryota; Viridiplantae; Streptophyta; Magnoliopsida; Poales; Poaceae. The record is from RNAcentral.